AAUGCACCAAACUUAAGUCGCUCUGGAUAAGAGCGUCUGCUAAAUGACUUAAA
Non-coding RNA from Salmo salar (Atlantic salmon), 53 nucleotides. NCBI's taxonomy places the organism in Eukaryota, Metazoa, Chordata, Actinopteri, Salmoniformes, Salmonidae. The record is from Rfam.